AGUCACUGACAUUAGACUACCCGUGUAGUCCAGGGUGUAAACGCUGCAGACUUGGUGGUUGGGAACCCGUUCGGGGGUGCUCAGUGCCGGAGAGAAGUUGUUAAGUCUGCUACGUUGGGGAGUACGUCCGCAAAGGAUAGAAAACUUAAAAGGAAUUGGGCGGGGGAGCACCGCAACGGGAGGAGCGUGCGGUUUAAUUGGAUUCAACGACCGAAAAACUCACCAGCAGCGACUGUUACAUGAAAGUCAGGUUGAUGACCUUACUAGAUUUUCAG
This 275-nucleotide ribosomal RNA is filed under the name uncultured archaeon. RNAcentral's name for it is "partial 16S ribosomal RNA". It matches the Rfam family "Archaeal small subunit ribosomal RNA", at positions 718 to 982 of the family's 1478-position model. The record is from RNAcentral.